CAAGGCACAGUUCUGUGGGCGG
RNAcentral lists this microRNA (22 nucleotides) under Caenorhabditis elegans. Lineage: Eukaryota; Metazoa; Nematoda; Chromadorea; Rhabditida; Rhabditidae. The record is from RNAcentral.